AGCGAACGCUGGCGGCGUGCUUAACACAUGCAAGUCGAACGGAUCCGGGGGGCAACCCUCGGGUUAGUGGCGAACGGGUGAGUAACACGUGGGUAAUCUUCCCCCGAGUGAGGAAUAAGCUUGCGAAAGCGGGUCUAAUACCGCAUGACGCUUCGGGACUUCAGUCUUCGAAGCCAAAGCCGUAAGGCGCUUGGGGAUGAGCCUGCGUCCUAUUAGCUAGUUGGUAGGGUAAUGGCCUACCAAGGCGAUGAUGGGUAGCCGGCCUGAGAGGGUGAUCGGCCACACUGGAACUGAGACACGGUCCAGACUCCUACGGGAGGCAG
This 323-nucleotide ribosomal RNA is filed under the name uncultured Nitrospirota bacterium. RNAcentral's name for it is "bacterial SSU rRNA". It matches the Rfam family "Bacterial small subunit ribosomal RNA", at positions 29 to 351 of the family's 1533-position model. Lineage: Bacteria; Pseudomonadati; Nitrospirota. The record is from RNAcentral.